Drosophila miranda is the source of this 1409-nucleotide long non-coding RNA. RefSeq lists it as uncharacterized. NCBI's taxonomy places the organism in Eukaryota, Metazoa, Arthropoda, Insecta, Diptera, Drosophilidae. The transcript has 3 exons. The record is from RefSeq and is a predicted model, not a curated record.
CAUAAGUUAACAGCGGCUACUGUCAAGGUGUGGUGAGAAAAGGGGAAUGAGAGAACCAAGGGCUCAAGCGGAAGGAGAGUGGCUUGGGCAUGUUCUUUCCAAUGUUACUCGCGAUCCCAGACGGACGUCUGAGGAAAAUACUCAAGUAGUGCAGUGAAAGGAAAAAUUCUAACCUCGACCGUAAUUACCGCGUGUCCAUCGUGGCUAAGACCUAGUCAAAAGAUCAGCCGACCAUUCCUACGUUUAUUAAGCGAAGGCCGAACCCAUCGGGUUUGGCCGUACGUAAUACCGUACGAAACGCCGGUCGUAGUGCCGUAAGCCGUACCCACUACAGUCUCGUCACCUUACCACACAUAUAAAUACCCAGCGUCCCGAUCGACUACAGUAUGUGUUAGCCGUCUUCGCCCCCAAAUCUUCUUUCGGCGUGGCGUCUGCAUACAUGUGAGCAUCACUGUAUUUACCGCACCGUGUACCGGCGUGGGUCCACACACAUACAAGCCUUGCUCGGCCUACACCAGUGAAAAACGGUCGAUGGGCUUUUAUCUACGCGUGCAGUGACAUACAUAUGUACAUCUGUGUGAAAUUGACUAUUCCCUCUUCAGUGACUUUCGUCAUUGCUACGUCGCUUACGCCGCCCGCAUACGAACAGUAACGCUAAAGGAGAAGACAUUUACCGGUGCCGAAAUACUGUUUGCGUUGCUGAUGAAGUCAUUCGGUGUCUCGAUCAUGAUGGCUAUGCCCAUGCAUUUCUUCAUAUUAGAAUAAUACUUUGGAACCCCACUAUUGUACUGACCCUAGGAUUAACAUUAAAAGUUAAAUUCGUGGGAUUCGGUUUGGUUGGCUUAUCAUAAAGAAAUGUGCAGCUAGAAGGAAACGAACUAAAACUAAUACUCGCGCGUAUCGCCUAUCUACUCUGACACACUGAUAUUUACAAGUUUUCAGCCACCCUCAUCGACCACAUGGAAGCGCUUUCAUCGUUGGAUUUGAUCGUAAUCCGUACUGUAACGCUGACCAAUCCAAUUGUUCACGUGUUUGUUUUGUUCUGCUCUUUCGCAAGCAAUGUAACUUUCUGCAAUUCCGAAUCUAUCGACAACCGAACUUAUGAUUGGGAUUACCCCACAAGCAAUUGCUGUGCACUUUAAAGGUGCACCCAUCCGUCCCUUGUUUUUGCAUUUAAACUGAAAACCAUUCGAAUAUAUUUCUAUUUGUGUAACGUAAUUACCAUUAUUCCUGAAUAUACUCUUUAUAAUUAGUUGACUCUAGUCUAAUAAGAUCUUUCAUCAUGAUAUUUUUAUAUAUAUAUAAUUAAUCUUAAUUGCAGCUUAUUUGAACAUAUUAUCCUUAUUACUUUAGUAGCCUUUAUACAUAUAUAUCUACCCUCUUAGCGGCCAUGAGAGCUUGUAGGAAAG